CGGGCGGCGGUCCGAGGGGUCCCGGCUGUGAGGGGCGGGGGGUCCCGCUGUGAGGGGGCGUUGGUCUGAGGGUCUCUGUGGGGAGAGGGCGUUGGUCCGGUGGGUUCUCGUGAGGAGGGGGCGGCCGGGUGUGAAGGGUUGUGUGAGGGACUUUUGGGGGUGUGCGGAGAGAGUAACUAGCUGUGAGGGGUUGUGUGAGGAGCAGUUUUAGGGGAUAAGAGAGGAGCUGCUGAGGGAUAGGAGAACAGGAGAGAGCUGGCAUGUGGGGGUGCUGAGAGAAGUUUGGGAAAUAAUUUGUGGAAGCCCCAUGUGGGGACACUGAGUGGGGAGAGGGGCCUGAGGGAGAAGAUGAUGGGGGGCUGCUGCUGAGGCCAUUUGAGCUCAGCCAGCAUUUUGAGGAGCAGCAGGCCUGAGGGAGAAUGAGGAAACUGAGGAAAGGUGUGGGGCAGACCUCAGCAAGGAGGUACUUGGGGCCUGGACAUGUGUAGGGGAGAGGUCUGGCACGGAUGGGAACUUUUUGGGGACAAUGUGGAAGAGGACAGUAGGUUUGGGGUAAGCGGUCUGUGGUGAGGACAUGGAUCCAAGUGGAGCUGCCUCUCUGGCCAGGGGGAGCUCAUCUACAGGCUGUGACAGUCCCAGGAAGUGAUUACAGCUGGAGGAAUUCUAAACAGUCCACUUCUCCUUGUCAUGGUGUUUGAGUGCAUUGUGCUCCCGUCUGAACGGAGGAAAUCACUGAGGUUUUCCCUCACAGCUGAGUCAGCAGAAGAGAGUGUUCUGUGCCUGACCCUGCUGGGUUAGUGCUGCCUGUCUCCGCUCAGACCCCAGCCCGACAGUGCUGUGACUACCCUGGCCUUUGUCCUAGACUGGCUGGUGUAGGGAUGUGUAUUUACACCGUGGUACAGGGAAGUAACCUCUGGAAGAGAGUUGGCUGGAGAGUAUGACUGGAACUGCUGGACAAAAGGUGGUGGAACUCUUCUGAGAACUCCUAGAUUCCAUAUUAGCAUGGU
This 1007-nucleotide long non-coding RNA is filed under the name Lonchura striata (white-rumped munia). RNAcentral describes it as "domestica (Bengalese finch) lncRNA (ENSLSDG00000014844.1)". The record is from RNAcentral. Lineage: Eukaryota; Metazoa; Chordata; Aves; Passeriformes; Estrildidae.